ACCCGUUGAUCCUGCGGGAGAUUGCUGCUAUUGGGAUUCGACUAAGCCAUGCAAGUCUUCUAGCAAUAGAGGCGCAAGGCUCAGUAACACGUCACUAAUCUGCCCUAAGGUCAGGGAUACCCACGGGAAACUGUGGUUAAUACCUGAUAGGGAACGAAUAUUGGAAUAUUUUCUUCCUCAAACUCGAGCCUUAGGAUGAGGUGGCGGCCGAUUAGGCAGAUGGCGGUGUAACGGACCACCAUACCAAAGAUCGGUACGGGCCAUGAGAGUGGUAGCCCGGAGAGGGACACUGAGAUACUGGUCCCAGCCCUACGGGGUGCAGCAGGCGCGAAACCUUUACAAUGCACGCAAGUGUGAUAAGGGGAUCCCAAGUGCUCAAGCACAGCUUGGGCUUUUGUUAUGUGUAAAUAGCAUAGCGAAUAAGUGGUGGGAAAGACUGGUGCCAGCCGCCGCGGUAACACCAGCGCCACGAGUGGCAAUCGCGUUUAUUGGGCCUAAAGCGUUCGUAGCAGGUUUCAUAAAUCUCUUGUGAAAUUGUACCGCUCAACGGUACAGUGUGCAGGAGACACUGUGAGACUUGAGACCGGGAAGGGUCAGAGGUAUUCCUGAGGGAGCGGUAAAAUGCUAUAAUCUCAGGAGGACCACCUGUGGCGAAGGCGUCUGACUAGAACGGAUCUGACUGUGAGGGACGAAAGCCAGGGGAGCAAACCGGAUUAGAUACCCGAGUAGUCCUGGCAGUAAACGCUGUGAGCUAGGUGUCGCGUAUUCUACGGGAAUGCGCGGUGUCGAAAGGAAGCUAUUAAGCUCACCGCCUGGGAAGUACGGUCGCAAGACUGAAACUUUAAGGAAUUGGCGGGGGCGCACCACAAGGGGUGCGGCGUGCGGUUUAAUCUAAUUCAACACAGAGAACCUUACUAGGAGCGACGGCAGGAUGAAGGUCAGUCUGAAGGGCUUACCCAACGAGCCGAGAGGAGGUGCAUGGCCGUCGUCAGCUCGUGCUAUGAAGUGUCCAGUUAAGUCUGGCAACGAGCGAGACCUGUAUCUGCAAUUGCCAUCGGCUCUUCGGAGGACCGGGCACAUUGUAGGGACUGCCUUGGAAACAAGGAGGAAGGUGCAGGCUACGGUAGGUCUGUAUGCCCCGAAUCUCCUAGGCUACACGCGCGCAACAAUGGUAGGGACAAUGGGCUGCGACCCUGAAAAGGGAAGCUAAUCCUCUAAACCCUAUCCAAGUCCGGAUUGAGGCUUGAAACUCAGCCUCAUGACGAUGGAAUCCCUAGUAAUCGGACGUCAUCAACGUCCGGUGAAUAUGUCCCUGCGCCUUGCACACACCGCCCGUCAAACCAACCGAGCAGGGUUUAGGUAAAACAAAGCCUAUUAGUUUUGUUGAAUCUGAGCUCAGUGAGGCGGGUUAAGUCGUCACAAGGUA
RNAcentral lists this ribosomal RNA (1426 nucleotides) under metagenome. RNAcentral describes it as "bacterial SSU rRNA". It matches the Rfam family "Archaeal small subunit ribosomal RNA". The record is from RNAcentral.